AGCUUCUUAGCGCAGUGGAAGCGCGCGGGGCUCAUACUACCCCGAGGUCCUCGGAUCGAGACCGAGAGAAGCUA
Molecule: transfer RNA, 74 nt
Filed under: Rhizoctonia solani AG-1 IB
Lineage: Eukaryota; Fungi; Basidiomycota; Agaricomycetes; Cantharellales; Ceratobasidiaceae
Description: tRNA-Met
Rfam family: tRNA
About the family: Transfer RNA (tRNA) molecules are approximately 80 nucleotides in length. Their secondary structure includes four short double-helical elements and three loops (D, anti-codon, and T loops).
Source: RNAcentral